UAGGGAGACCUACCCAUUGAAGAAUCGAAAGCCGAAGGCGAAUAGAGAAUCAAAUGGUCUACUCUAGGUCGAUGACGUGAGAUUGUGAAGUCUUUCAAACUAAUAUUUGGUUCGCGGGCUAUUAGCUCAGGUGGUUAGAGCGCACCCCUGAUAAGGGUGAGGUCCCUGGUUCGAGUCCAGGAUGGCCCACCUGGGGGUUUAGCUCAGUUGGUAGAGCGCCUGCUUUGCAAGCAGGAUGUCAGCGGUUCGAGUCCGCUAACCUCCACAUUAGGUAUUAUCAGCAACUAGGAAAGACCUAGACUGCUGGUGAGAACCAGCCAGAACCUUGAAAACUGCAUAUAGAUAGAUAAGAGAGCCGAAAUCGAAAGAUAGAAGCAAGUGAAGGACCAGGU
Molecule: transfer RNA, 392 nt
Filed under: Cylindrospermopsis africana CHAB1394
Lineage: Bacteria; Bacillati; Cyanobacteriota; Cyanophyceae; Nostocales; Aphanizomenonaceae
Description: partial 16S-23S ribosomal RNA intergenic spacer
Rfam family: tRNA (bases 193-265)
Source: RNAcentral